Molecule: unclassified non-coding RNA, 343 nt
Filed under: Hevea brasiliensis (rubber tree)
Lineage: Eukaryota; Viridiplantae; Streptophyta; Magnoliopsida; Malpighiales; Euphorbiaceae
Source: RNAcentral
CCGUCCACAUUUGGAAGGACAGCUGCAAAGCAAAAGAAAUUCAAAGAUACUCCACAUAAAACAGGGGAACAAUAAUAAAUAAGGUUGAACUUAUUGAGAACAACAUGCUGAAAAUUGAUGGAAUCGUCUCAAUACAUUCAUGUUAUACUAGCAGUUUGUACCAUGUUCUCAGUAUUGGAGACAAGGAUUGUUUUUGACAGUGAAUCAUCCCCGAUGUUCUUGCUGAGAGCUAUUAUUGUGUAUUUGUGUGAUAGAUUUUACUUGAUUAAGAAAACUCAACUCAACUCAACUCAAUUAAGCCUUUAUCCCAAAAAUUUGAGGUCGGCUAUAUGGAUUCGCUUUC